UAGAGUUUGAUCCUGGCUCAGAGCGAACGCUGGCGGCAGGCUUAACACAUGCAAGUCGAGCGGGCGUAGCAAUACGUCAGCGGCAGACGGGUGAGUAACGCGUGGGAACGUACCUUUUGGUUCGGAACAACCCAGGGAAACUUGGGCUAAUACCGGAUAAGCCCUUACGGGGAAAGAUUUAUCGCCGAAAGAUCGGCCCGCGUCUGAUUAGCUAGUUGGUGAGGUAACGGCUCACCAAGGCGACGAUCAGCAGCUGGUCUGAGAGGAUGAUCAGCCACAUUGGGACUGAGACACGGCCCAAACUCCUACGGGAGGCAGCAGUGGGGAAUAUUGAACAAUGGGCGCAAGCCUGAUCCAGCCAUGCCGCGUGAGUGAUGAAGGCCCUAGGGUUGUAAAGCUCUUUUGUGCGGGAAGAUAAUGACGGUACCGCAAGAAUAAGCCCCGGCUAACUUCGUGCCAGCAGCCGCGGUAAUACGAAGGGGGCUAGCGUUGCUCGGAAUCACCGGGCGUAAAGGGUGCGUAGGCGGGUCUUUAAGUCAGGGGUGAAAUCCUGGAGCUCAACUCCAGAACUGCCUUUGAUACUGAAGAUCUUGAGUUCGGGAGAGGUGAGUGGAACUGCGAGUGUAGAGGUGAAAUUCGUAGAUAUUCGCAAGAACACCAGUGGCGAAGGCGGCUCACUGGCCCGAUACUGACGCUGAGGCACGAAAGCGUGGGGAGCAAACAGGAUUAGAUGCCCUGCUAGUCCACGCCGUAAACGAUGAAUGCCAGCCG
This 771-nucleotide ribosomal RNA is filed under the name uncultured soil bacterium. RNAcentral's name for it is "SSU rRNA". It matches the Rfam family "Bacterial small subunit ribosomal RNA", at positions 1 to 822 of the family's 1533-position model. The record is from RNAcentral.